Molecule: ribosomal RNA, 253 nt
Filed under: uncultured bacterium
Lineage: Bacteria
Description: partial 16S ribosomal RNA
Rfam family: Bacterial small subunit ribosomal RNA
Source: RNAcentral
GCAAGUCGAAUGAGAAGCGGUCUUCGGAUAGUGGAACAUGGCGGACGGGUGAGUAACACGGAGAUAAUCUGCCCUCGAGUUGGGGAUACCCCAUGGAAACAUCGAAUAAUACCGACUGAAAUCUUUUGUUAUUAAGGUCGAUUGAUGAAAGGAGCUUCGGCUCCGCUUGAGGAUGAGUCUGCGGCUCAUUAGCUAGUUGGUGGGGUAACGGCCUACCAAGGCAAUGAUGAGUAGCCGGCCUGAGAGGGUGAUC